Long non-coding RNA from Olea europaea var. sylvestris, 818 nucleotides. RefSeq lists it as uncharacterized. The record is from RefSeq and is a predicted model, not a curated record. The transcript has 2 exons. NCBI's taxonomy places the organism in Eukaryota, Viridiplantae, Streptophyta, Magnoliopsida, Lamiales, Oleaceae.
CACAAAGUUGGUACAGAUUUUUGAAUUUGCUGAGUUGGAAUAGAAAAUUCGUUUUUUAUUCUCUUGUCAAUUGUUUGCCCUUUUCAGCCGUUUUAAAUGUAUUAAAGCAAAUCGAUUUUCCUUUUAACAAUUUACUUUGACCCUUUUGAUAAACCAGAUUUCAUUUUCCCCAAAAACUUUCCCCCUAAAUCACAAAGCAAGAAGAAACCCGCUCGUUUCUUCAUCGCCGACAUAUGGACAACUGACCGGCACCAUUGGACGUAGUAUGAAGAUGGCAGCCCACCGACACCCAACGUCGAAAUAGCAUUUGAAGACGGCAGUUGAAUCCUAGAUGCUGGGCAAAGUUUGUAACAUGCAAGAGAAGACCAUUAAGGUGGCCAAUAGGAAAAGGCCAAUUAGCUACUUUUGAUUGAUAUUUUUUGUUUCGUUAGCAAUUGUUGAGUAGAAUGAGAGGAAACGAAGAGGUGAAGCAUGAGCGCAACGAGGAAUACGAAGACUUGCUAAGAGUAUUCGACAGCCUAGCUCGAAUUACCGAGAAACGAGAUGUCAUCAUAACAUUGCACGUUACAUUUUGCAAAGCAAAAGGAAUUGUAGAAAGUGAUGGGAAGGGAAGGGACCGACAUGAACGGGUGAUGUCAAUUUGUAGUUGUUGUAUGCUUUAUUUGUACCGUAUGAACUUCUUGGUCAUAGUAGUCUUUGAUGUCCAACGCUUAAUUUUGUUGACGUUGUUCGAGCUUUGGACAGAAGUUUAAUAUUUUGCGAAUUGUUGUAAUGCUUAGUAGGCUUCUUCAAGUUUAAUAUUUUGAGAAUUGUUGUAA